GACGAACGCUGGCGGCGUGCUUAACACAUGCAAGUCGAACGGAAAGGCCCUGCUUUUGUGGGGUGCUCGAGUGGCGAACGGGUGGGUAACACGUGAGUAACCUGCCCUUGACUUUGGGAUAACUUCAGGAAACUGGGGCUAAUACCGGAUAGGAGCUCCUGCUGCAUGGUGGGGGUUGGAAAGUUUCGGCGGUUGGGGAUGGACUCGCGGCUUAUCAGCUUGUUGGUGGGGUAGUGGCUUACCAAGGCUUUGACGGGUAGCCGGCCUGAGAGGGUGACCGGCAACAUUGGGACUGAGAUACGGACCAGACGCCUACGGGAGGCAGCAGUGGGGAAUAUUGCACAAUGGGCGGAAGCCUGAUGCAGCAACGCCGCGGGCGGGAUGACGGCCUUCGGGUUGUAAACCGCUUUCGCCUGUGACGAAGCGUGAGUGGCGGUAAUGGGUAAAGAAGCACCGGCUAACUACGUG
RNAcentral lists this ribosomal RNA (468 nucleotides) under uncultured bacterium. RNAcentral's name for it is "partial 16S ribosomal RNA". It matches the Rfam family "Bacterial small subunit ribosomal RNA", at positions 28 to 507 of the family's 1533-position model. The record is from RNAcentral.